GCGGCAGGUAGGGCCGGGGAGCUAGCCCUUCCCUGUGACCCGAAAUGGGCUACACGCGGGGGCCAGUAACCCGAGAAGGCGCCUGAGAGGAGGAAAGCACGGCAACGGAAAAGGAGGGAUGAAAACGCGCCCACGCAGGGUCCCGUAGGAAGCCGACCCAUCCGUAAGGAUGGGCAACGGCUUCCGAGCACGCCGAACCGCGUCAGGCCCGGGAGGGAGCAGCGCUAAGGCGUGGCGGGGCCGCUGCGUGGAUCCGUGUUGGACUUCCUGCCGUUGUUUCGGCUUUCCUCCUCCUGGCCACUUCUCGGGGGCUGCCGC
RNAcentral lists this signal recognition particle RNA (318 nucleotides) under Nitrososphaerota archaeon. Its description in RNAcentral is "Thaumarchaeota archaeon signal recognition particle sRNA". It matches the Rfam family "Archaeal signal recognition particle RNA". RNAcentral also lists the same sequence under 1 other name. Lineage: Archaea; Thermoproteati; Nitrososphaerota. The record is from RNAcentral.